Molecule: ribosomal RNA, 301 nt
Filed under: uncultured bacterium
Lineage: Bacteria
Description: partial 16S ribosomal RNA
Rfam family: Bacterial small subunit ribosomal RNA
Source: RNAcentral
CAGUAGCCGCGGUAAUACGGAGGGUGCAAGCGUUAUCCGGAUUCACUGGGUUUAAAGGGUGCGUAGGCGGAUCUGUAAGUCAGUGGUGAAAUCUCCAGGCUUAACCUGGAAACUGCCGUUGAUACUAUAGGUCUUGAAUUUUGUGGAGGUUAGCGGAAUAUGUCAUGUAGCGGUGAAAUGCAUAGAUAUGACAUAGAACACCAAUUGCGAAGGCAGCUGGCAACACAACUAUUGACGCUGAGGCACGAAAGCGUGGGGAUCAAACAGGAUUAGAUACCCCAGUAGUCCCUGUCUCUUAUAC